Molecule: ribosomal RNA, 497 nt
Filed under: uncultured bacterium
Lineage: Bacteria
Description: partial 16S ribosomal RNA
Rfam family: Bacterial small subunit ribosomal RNA
Source: RNAcentral
GAUGAACGCUGGCGGCGUGCCUAAUACAUGCAAGUCGAGCGAACAGACGAGGAGCUUGCUCCUCUGACGUUAGCGGCGGACGGGUGAGUAACACGUGGAUAACCUACCUAUAAGACUGGGAUAACUUCGGGAAACCGGAGCUAAUACCGGAUAAUAUAUUGAACCGCAUGGUUCAAUAGUGAAAGACGGUUUUGCUGUCACUUAUAGAUGGAUCCGCGCCGCAUUAGCUAGUUGGUAAGGUAACGGCUUACCAAGGCAACGAUGCGUAGCCGACCUGAGAGGGGGAUCGGCCACACUGGAACUGAGACACGGUCAAGACUCCUACGGGAGGCAGCAGUAGGGAAUGUUCCGCAAUGGGCGAAAGCUUGACGGAGCAACGCCGCGUGAGUGAUGAAGGGUUUAGGAUCGUAAAACUCUGUUAUUAGGGAAGAACAAAUGUGUAAGUAACUGUGCACGUCUUGACGGUACCUAAUCAGAAAGCCACGGCUAACUACGUG